RNAcentral lists this ribosomal RNA (468 nucleotides) under uncultured bacterium. Its description in RNAcentral is "partial 16S ribosomal RNA". It matches the Rfam family "Bacterial small subunit ribosomal RNA", at positions 28 to 507 of the family's 1533-position model. The record is from RNAcentral.
GACGAACGCUGGCGGCGUGCUUAACACAUGCAAGUCGAACGGAAAGGCCCUGCUUUUGUGGGGUGCUCGAGUGGCGAACGGGUGAGUAACACGUGAGUAACCUGCCCUUGACUUUGGGAUAACUUCAGGAAACUGGGGCUAAUACCGGAUAGGAGCUCCUGCUGCAUGGUGGGGGUUGGAAAGUUUCGGCGGUUGGGGAUGGACUCGCGGCUUAUCAGCUUGUUGGUGGGGUAGUGGCUUACCAAGGCCUUGACGGGUAGCCGGCCUGAGAGGGUGACCGGCCACAUUGGGACUGAGAUACGGCCCAGACUCCUACGGGAGGCAGCAGUGGGGAAUAUUGCACAAUGGGCGGAAGCCUGAUGCAGCAACGCCGCGUGCGGGAUGACGGCCUUCGGGUUGUAAACCGCUUUCGCCUGUGACGAAGCGUGAGUGACGGUAAUGGGUAAAGAAGCACCGGAUAACUACGUG